UGGCUCUGGCAUCGAUGAAGAACGCAGCGAAAUGCGAUAAGUAGUGUGAAUUGCAGAAUUCAGUGAAUCAUCGAAUCUUUGAACGCACAUUGCGCCCCUUGGUAUUCCAUGGGGCAUGCCUGUUCGAGCGUCAUCUACACCCUCAAGCUCUGCUUGGUGUUGGGCGUCUGUCCCGCCUCUGUGCGUGGACUCGCCCCAAAUUCAUUGGCAGCGGUCUUGCCUCCUCUCGCGCAGCACAAUUGCGUUGUUAGGGGUGUGGCUUGCUUCCAUAAAGCAUUAUUACCGUCUUUGACCUCGGAUCAGGUAGGGAUACCCGCUGA
This 320-nucleotide unclassified non-coding RNA is filed under the name uncultured fungus. Its description in RNAcentral is "partial contains 5.8S ribosomal RNA and internal transcribed spacer 2". The stretch from base 1 to 133 matches the Rfam family "5.8S ribosomal RNA", at positions 22 to 154 of the family's 154-position model. The record is from RNAcentral. Lineage: Eukaryota; Fungi.